GAUGAACGCUAGCGGCAGGCUUAACACAUGCAAGUCGAGGGGCAGCACAGGUAGCAAUACUGGGUGGCGACCGGCAAACGGGUGCGGAACACGUACACAAUCUGCCUUUAUCUGGGGAAUAGCCCGAAGAAAUUCGGAUUAAUACCCCAUAACAUAUUUGGAUGGCAGCAUUUGAAUAUUAAAACUCCGGGGGAUAAAGAUGAGUGUGCGUCCCAUUAGCUAGUUGGCAGGGUAACGGCCUGCUAAGGCGACGAUGGGUAGCUGGUGUGAGAGCACGACCAGCCACACGGGCACUGAGACACGGGCCCGACUCCUACGGGAGGCAGCAGUGAGGAAUAUUGGUCAAUGGACGCAAGUCUGAACCAGCCAUGCCGCGUGAAGGAUGAAGGCCUUCUGGGUUGUAAACUUCUUUUAUUGGGGAAGAAAAUUACGGUUUCUACUGUAACCGACGGUACCCAAGGAAUCAGCACCGGCUAACUCCGUGCCAGCCGCCGCCGUAA
This 500-nucleotide ribosomal RNA is filed under the name uncultured bacterium. RNAcentral describes it as "partial 16S ribosomal RNA". It matches the Rfam family "Bacterial small subunit ribosomal RNA", at positions 28 to 523 of the family's 1533-position model. The record is from RNAcentral.